This 520-nucleotide unclassified non-coding RNA is filed under the name Polistes fuscatus (common paper wasp). RNAcentral's name for it is "beta carbonic anhydrase 1, transcript variant X2". The record is from RNAcentral. Lineage: Eukaryota; Metazoa; Arthropoda; Insecta; Hymenoptera; Vespidae.
GAUUGAUUAAUAAGAUCGUUUCAAAUUUUGUCCGCCUUUAAUCUGACAAAUGGCGGAUUUGUGUGUGUCACUGUUGACGACGCGUAAGCAUACAGUAGUUACAACAGUAGUUAGUCUCUCUCAACGUGGUUCGUAACAAUGGAUAGAAUAAUUAAAGGUAUUAUGAAAUAUAGGCAGUGUCAUAGAGAAGGAAUGGUGAAACAAUUUCAAAAAGUUAGAGAUCAUCCCGAGCCUAAAGCAGUAUUCUUUACCUGCAUGGACUCUCGGAUGAUACCAACUAGAUUUACGGAAACAAAUGUUGGGGACAUGUUUGUCGGUACGAGACUUCAUUAUGACACUAACACACGCAAUGUCUACUAUCUGACUAUUUCUAUAUGAAGAAUCUGGAAUUUCUAAUGCAUUAUGGUGUAUCGGAGACUGCCUAUAAGUAAGAAAUGCUGGAAAUUUGAUUCCACAUUCUCAACAUUUUGCGGAUGAACUCACUAUGUGCGAGCCAGCUGCUUUGGAACUUGGUUGCGUA